RNAcentral lists this ribosomal RNA (497 nucleotides) under uncultured bacterium. RNAcentral describes it as "partial 16S ribosomal RNA". It matches the Rfam family "Bacterial small subunit ribosomal RNA", at positions 28 to 507 of the family's 1533-position model. The record is from RNAcentral.
GAUGAACGCUGGCGGCGUGCCUAAUACAUGCAAGUCGAGCGAACGGAUGAUACGCUUGCUUCUCUGAUGUUAGCGGCGGACGUGCGAGUAACACGUUGAUACCCUACUUAUCUGACUGGGAUAACGUCGGGAAACUGGAGCUAAUUCCCGAUUAUAUUUUAAUCUUCAUUGUUCAAAAGUGAAAGACUGUCAUGCUCACUUUCAUCGCUACAUCCGCGCUGCAUUGGCUAUUUGGUAAGGUAACGGCUUACCAAGGCAACGAUGAAUAGCCGACCUGGGAGGUGAAUCGGCCAAACGGGAACGGGACCAGGGUCAGGACUCCUACGGGGGGCAGAAGUGGGGAAUCUUGGGCAAGGGGGGAAGGCCUAACGGAGCAAGGCCGCGUGGGUAAUGAAGGUCUUCGGAUCGUAAGACUCUGUUUUAGGGGAAGAACAGAGGUGUAAGUAAAUGUGCACAUCGUGACGGUACCUAAUCAGAAAGCCACGGCUAACUACGUG